GACGAACGCUGGCGGCGUGCCUAACACAUGCAAGUCGAACGGAGUUAAGGCCAACACCGAAGAUUCAGGGGUGCUGGGGACAGGACACUGAGUCGUGGGUGUUGGACUUAACUUAGUGGCGGACGGGUGAGUAACGCGUGAGGAACCUGCCUUUCAGAGGGGGAUAACGUCUGGAAACGGACGCUAAUACCGCAUGACAUUCCGGGGUCACAUGGCUCUGGAAUCAAAGGAGCAAUCCGCUGAGAGAUGGACUCGCGUCCGAUUAGCCAGUUGGCGGGGCAACGGCCCACCAAAGCAACGAUCGGUAGCCGGGCUGAGAGGCUGAACGGCCACAUUGGGACUGAGACACGGCCCAGACUCCUACGGGAGGCAGCAGUGGGGGAUAUUGCACAAUGGAGGAAACUCUGAUGCAGCAACGCCGCGUGAGGGAAGAAGGUUCUCGGAUUGUAAACCUCUGUCCUCAGGGACGAUAAUGACGGUACCUGGGGAGGAAGCUCCGGCUAACUACGUG
Molecule: ribosomal RNA, 511 nt
Filed under: uncultured organism
Description: bacterial SSU rRNA
Rfam family: Bacterial small subunit ribosomal RNA
Source: RNAcentral